Molecule: ribosomal RNA, 133 nt
Filed under: Candidatus Zambryskiibacteriota bacterium
Lineage: Bacteria; Candidatus Zambryskiibacteriota
Description: partial 16S ribosomal RNA
Rfam family: Bacterial small subunit ribosomal RNA
Source: RNAcentral
UCUUGUACUCACCGCCCGUCAACUCAAGGGAACCGGGAAUACCCGAAGUCUAGCGUAUGCUAGCCCACGGUAAAUUCGGUAACAGGGAGUAAGUCGUAACAAGGCACGGCUAGCGGAAGCUGGUCGUGGAAUA